RNAcentral lists this non-coding RNA (143 nucleotides) under Gorilla gorilla gorilla (western lowland gorilla). Lineage: Eukaryota; Metazoa; Chordata; Mammalia; Primates; Hominidae. The record is from Rfam by way of RNAcentral.
GCUGGGCAUGGUGGCGUGUGCCUGUAAUCCCAGCUACUCAGGAGGCUGAGGCAGGAGAAUUGCUUGAACUCAGGAGGUGGAAGUUGCAGUGAGAUCGCGCCACUGCACUGCAGCCUGGGCAACAGAGCAACACUCUGUCUCCA